Molecule: ribosomal RNA, 973 nt
Filed under: Escherichia coli
Lineage: Bacteria; Pseudomonadati; Pseudomonadota; Gammaproteobacteria; Enterobacterales; Enterobacteriaceae
Description: partial 23S ribosomal RNA
Rfam family: Bacterial large subunit ribosomal RNA
Source: RNAcentral
GGCGAACCGGGGGAACUGAAACAUCUAAGUACCCCGAGGAAAAGAAAUCAACCGAGAUUCCCCCAGUAGCGGCGAGCGAACGGGGAGGAGCCCAGAGCCUGAAUCAGUGUGUGUGUUAGUGGAAGCGUCUGGAAAGGCGCGCGAUACAGGGUGACAGCCCCGUACACAAAAAUGCACAUGCUGUGAGCUCGAUGAGUAGGGCGGGACACGUGGUAUCCUGUCUGAAUAUGGGGGGACCAUCCUCCAAGGCUAAAUACUCCUGACUGACCGAUAGUGAACCAGUACCGUGAGGGAAAGGCGAAAAGAACCCCGGCGAGGGGAGUGAAAAAGAACCUGAAACCGUGUACGUACAAGCAGUGGGAGCACGCUUAGGCGUGUGACUGCGUACCUUUUGUAUAAUGGGUCAGCGACUUAUAUUCUGUAGCAAGGUUAACCGAAUAGGGGAGCCGAAGGGAAACCGAGUCUUAACUGGGCGUUAAGUUGCAGGGUAUAGACCCGAAACCCGGUGAUCUAGCCAUGGGCAGGUUGAAGGUUGGGUAACACUAACUGGAGGACCGAACCGACUAAUGUUGAAAAAUUAGCGGAUGACUUGUGGCUGGGGGUGAAAGGCCAAUCAAACCGGGAGAUAGCUGGUUCUCCCCGAAAGCUAUUUAGGUAGCGCCUCGUGAAUUCAUCUCCGGGGGUAGAGCACUGUUUCGGCAAGGGGGUCAUCCCGACUUACCAACCCGAUGCAAACUGCGAAUACCGGAGAAUGUUAUCACGGGAGACACACGGCGGGUGCUAACGUCCGUCGUGAAGAGGGAAACAACCCAGACCGCCAGCUAAGGUCCCAAAGUCAUGGUUAAGUGGGAAACGAUGUGGGAAGGCCCAGACAGCCAGGAUGUUGGCUUAGAAGCAGCCAUCAUUUAAAGAAAGCGUAAUAGCUCACUGGUCGAGUCGGCCUGCGCGGAAGAUGUAACGGGGCUAAACCAUG